RNAcentral lists this ribosomal RNA (254 nucleotides) under uncultured bacterium. RNAcentral describes it as "partial 16S ribosomal RNA". It matches the Rfam family "Bacterial small subunit ribosomal RNA", at positions 524 to 776 of the family's 1533-position model. The record is from RNAcentral.
UACGUAGGGUGCGAGCGUUAAUCGGAAUUACUGGGCGUAAAGCGUGCGCAGGCGGUUCGUUAAGUUCGUUGUGAAAGCCCCGGGCUCAACCUGGGAACUGCAAUGGAAACUGGCGGGCUUGAGUGUGGCAGAGGGGGGUGGAAUUCCGCGUGUAGCAGUGAAAUGCGUAGAGAUGCGGAGGAACACCGAUGGCGAAGGCAGCCCCCCUGGGCCAAUACUGACGCUCAGGCACGAAAGCGUGGGGAGCAAACAGG